CCCUUAUAUCCCUGCAUAUCUCAUCUUUCCUUUAAGAACAAGGAAGAUACAAUCUGGCACGUUCCUUGGGUAAAAUAUGAAAGUAACCAGUCCCAAAAAAACUCACUCCAUAUCCUGGCAGAAAAUUUUCUGAAUAGAGAACUGAAAAUAGCAAUGAAAAGGAUUUGAAUGAAUGAAUGCCAUAUAGCAUUCCUAUUCCAAUGUUUUCUCUUCCUUGGGGGUUUCCAUCCACACUCACCUUUUCACCAACACCUCCAACAGAGCCAAUAGGGCCUGGGGGCCCGGGGAAGCCUCGAGGACCUUCGUCACCUUUUUGCCCAAACAUCCCUUGCUGACCUCUUGGGCCUGGCUCUCCAUCACCUCCCUGUUGGGAAACAAUGAAGAGCAAAACUAUCACAGCUCUGAUAAUAACAACAGGAAAAGCUCCAUGGAGAUGACUGGGAAACAGCGACAAAAGAGCUCAGAAUCACACCAAGUGUCUUUACAAAUGCAUGCUCAUCAUCUUGGCUGGAUGAAAUCUGUUGCACAAACAAAAUAACUGGUACUUCCUCGUCAGAACCUUUCAGAGGUGACCAAAAAGCCCUUUCUCCCUGCCCCAACAGGCAUCUGUCAGCACGUUGAAAGGAAAGCAGAUUUAAAAUGAACACAUUCUGAAAUUGACAGGGUUGAAUGACUGCAGUUGAGGGCAGAUUCAAGACAUGACUUCAACCGGAGUUACAUUCACUUCAACUAAGGCCUCAACACUGAAUCCUGUAUUUCAAGCAAAAAUGUGUAAUCGUCUCAAAUGCAUUCACCUUGAGACUGGGAGUCCAGGAUACAUUCUCAAACGAUAAUGCUGCAGACAUUUUAUUUGUAAAGCAGUUCUGCUGGAGCAGGCCCAAAUGCAUCAGCACUCACUAUGGGAACUGAGGUCACAGCCUAAUGCUCAGCAUAACUAGCUAUGCUAAAAUGAUCUGAAACACCAGAGCGCAGCUUGUGUUGUUUCCCCAUAUUUCUCUCAUGCAAAGCAUUUCUAAUGAAGAGGCAUGGCGAAGGGGACAACAGGAUAUGCCUGUGACCACAUGCAAAGCCUGAAGUGGAACUGGAUCAGAGGCUGGAACUAGCUGAUCCUAAAGUUCAUUUCCAGCCCAAGCCAUUCUGUGAUUCUAUGACCUGUGAUUUGCUUGAGUAUGUACAUAUCCUCCCAUAAACAUCAUCUGAUAAUAUGUAAGCCAUACAUUUGGUGUAAUUUUUUAAACUAAUAUACUGUUCUGCAACUUGUCAAUCUCAAAAAUCACACUGUUUUCAAGAUAAAUUUACUUAGCCAUGAAUACCCCUGUGCUGAGUUCAGAGCUUUGCUAACUGUGAAUAGUGUUGAAAUAUAACAAUCAAAGGGAUCUUUCUGCCAUUACUUCUCAAUUGUUUCUUAUGGAAAAUUAUUCAAGUAAAGUACCAGUUUAUAUUGAAUUUGAACAGAAUUGAAAACAUACCAUUUUGAGUUUUUAGAAAAGAAACCAAAAUAAAAUGGAAAUAAAUAAGUGCUAGUUUUAUUCUUUCUAGUUUCAAAUUUCACAGUGAAAAAAGCUUAAUUUUAUAUGUCUGGCCUAAAUAAAAAAAAGGAAGUGCUUGAACUUUAUAAUUUAUUUUUGAAGACGGAAAAAAUGUGAAAUCAAAACAGUAGAAACCUGAUUAGUCCUAGGUUCACUAAUAGGCCUAAUGAUAAAAUAUGAAAACUUGUAUAAGCCAUUUCAUCUGCCAUCAGUUAAUUGUGCUCCCCAGGAAUUAGAUAUCCUUUACAAAUUUUAAAACUACAUUAGUAGAUUCCUCUGCUGAGUCUCCACAGUUUCCAUCCUCAUGGCUAAGAAGCCACAGCUGGGAAUGUUCACACAGUGCAGUCAGUGAAGUUCAACACAGUAAGGGAAUGUAUGGGAAUUCUUGGUCUCUCCAGUUCAAAUGGAGAGAAUGGAGGAAUUUCAGUGAUACAGGAAGGGUGCUUAAGAAUGUAGUUUAUAUUUUGUAAUGAUUCUCUAAGCUCUAGGAAUAAGAGCAAUAAUAAAUACAUGCCUGGAUCUGUAAGUACAAACCUCUAGUAUUGCAUUAAAAGAACAUUAUUUUGAAAGAACAUUUUAGGAGUGUGUCUUUUUUUCUGCUCAUUUAUGUAGCAAAGCUACCUGCAUACUUCAUGCGUGAAUACCUUUUAUUUAUAAAGAAUAGAUGGAAUGCACAAAUAAUUUUGCUACUCACGUUUUCUCCUUUGUCACCUUUACUACCUUUCUGACCUGGUUCACCAAUUUCACCCUGUAAUUGAAAGUUAAAAGUUAAACUUGUUUAAAAUGGUCUUCUUCACACUUAGCUGAAGUCAAUGUCAUGGUAUCUCCAAAUGUUCCCUUUGAUAUGAUUAUUCUAUGUUUUAUGCUGCUGCUUCAAGUGAAAGCCUUAAGGAAGCAGUUCUGCAGUGAUCAAUAAUAUGUCAUAUUAAUUCUGAUAUUGAUUGCUGAAUUGAAAAGGGCAACAAGACCUGGCUUUGAAGUAUAAUGCUACUGAGCUCUAAAUAAAGGAAAUUGUGUUGCUUAUGUCACCUUCAAUAUGAACUUAUAAUGAAAGUAGUCUGAUUUACAGACUCAUGUAACUGUUUAUGCCUGAACUACUGCUUCUCACUGAA
Long non-coding RNA from Geospiza fortis (medium ground-finch), 2641 nucleotides. NCBI's taxonomy places the organism in Eukaryota, Metazoa, Chordata, Aves, Passeriformes, Thraupidae. The record is from Ensembl.